GCAUUCAAAUGGUGUUGCUUGCUCGGGAUACUAUUGAUAUGUGUUUGGGUGUGGGAUUAGACUCACUGAGUAAACUAGUUACUCAUGACUCAUUUGAUAUGCAGGUAACCAGUAGGUGGGAUACCUUUACUCUAGGACGGGAAGGAAAGGCAUUAGCCAGCGGUAGUUUUAUUAUCCUUGCAGUCGUUUUGAUAUACUUUAUGUAUAAGGUUUGUUGACCAAAAACCUCGAGGUUAAUCUAUAAGAUUUUGUAAGAUUCUUUUAAAUGAAUAAGUAUAUAGUGUAUAAAGAAUGUUUUUGAAGUACGGGUUCCAAAUGAUAUAAGUCCUUGUCCGGGCGAACCAACUAUUGGGUAUUACUCUUAAGGUUGUAAAGCCUCGGGUUGUACCUAAUAGGAUAUGUUUACUUAGGCGGUUGGCCUAAGGUACCUGGAUUUAUUUCGGGAAC
This 447-nucleotide long non-coding RNA is filed under the name Brassica napus (rape). RNAcentral's name for it is "long non-coding RNA (BNAP_LNC007875)". The record is from RNAcentral. Lineage: Eukaryota; Viridiplantae; Streptophyta; Magnoliopsida; Brassicales; Brassicaceae.